UCUUUCCAACCUGGAGAUGGAUGAUGCAGUAAGCUAGGGAGCAAGGCAAGCCUCACUGUGCCAAAAUCGAAUGAAGAGCGUAAGAAAAACCUAGAAAAGCCUCACUGUGCCCGAAGGAUUUCGCCAUGGCUGAGAUCUCAAAUCCAAGGUCACGUACAGCUUCUCUCUCGCAGAGACAGGAGGGUGUGGGCCGGAGGCUAUGCCGGCGCUUCCAAGAAGCGAAGACGGAAAGGCCGUAAUAGCUCUCCCCUGGAGGCAAAAACACUAGGGUUUCAAAACACUCGCGGCCCCGCCGAGGGAUCAAGGUUGGGAUACGGCGCCACCUCCUGGAUUCUUCUCGCCU
RNAcentral lists this long non-coding RNA (343 nucleotides) under Elaeis guineensis (African oil palm). Its description in RNAcentral is "long non-coding RNA (EGUI_LNC019415)". Lineage: Eukaryota; Viridiplantae; Streptophyta; Magnoliopsida; Arecales; Arecaceae. The record is from RNAcentral.